AGCGAACGCUGGCGGCAGGCCUAACACAUGCAAGUCGAACGAACCUUUCGGGGUUAGUGGCGGACGGGUGAGUAACACGUGGGAACGUGCCUUUAGGUUCGGAAUAACUCAGGGAAACUUGUGCUAAUACCGAAUGUGCCCUUAGGGGGAAAGAUUAAUCGCCUUUAGAGCGGCCCGCGUCUGAUUAGCUAGUUGGUUGAGGUAAUGGCUCACCAAGGCGAGGAUCAGUAGCUGGUCUGAGAGGAUGAUCAGCCACAUUGGGACUGAGACACGGCCCAAACUCCUACGGGAGGCAGCAGUGGGGAAUCUUGCGCAAUGGGCGAAAGCCUGACGCAGCCAUGCCGCGUGAAUGAUGAAGGUCUUAGGAUUGUAAAAUUCUUUCACCGGGGACGAUAAUGACGGUACCCGGAGAAGAAGCCCCGGCUAACUUCGUG
This 434-nucleotide ribosomal RNA is filed under the name uncultured bacterium. Its description in RNAcentral is "partial 16S ribosomal RNA". It matches the Rfam family "Bacterial small subunit ribosomal RNA", at positions 29 to 507 of the family's 1533-position model. The record is from RNAcentral.